Molecule: ribosomal RNA, 370 nt
Filed under: uncultured Latescibacterota bacterium
Lineage: Bacteria; Pseudomonadati; Candidatus Latescibacterota
Description: bacterial SSU rRNA
Rfam family: Bacterial small subunit ribosomal RNA
Source: RNAcentral
CCGUCUUCGGAGGCACCUGCACAGGUGCUGCAUGGCUGUCGUCAGCUCGUGUCGUGAGAUGUUCGGGUUAAGUCCCGCAACGAGCGCAACCCUUAUCCCUAGUUGCCAUCAGGUAAAGCUGGGAACUCUGGGGAGACUGCCGGUGAUAAACCGGAGGAAGGCGGGGAUGACGUCAAGUCCUCAUGGCCCUUACAUCCCGGGCUACACACGUGCUACAAUGGCAGGUACAGAGGGCUGCGAAGCCGCGAGGUGGAGCGAAUCCCAGAAAACCUGUCUCAGUCCGGAUUGAAGUCUGCAACUCGACUUCAUGAAGGCGGAAUCGCUAGUAACCGCGAAUCAGCAGGUCGCGGUGAAUACGUUCCCGGGCCUU